This 4935-nucleotide long non-coding RNA is filed under the name Homo sapiens (human). RNAcentral describes it as "HSALNT0261420". The record is from RNAcentral. Lineage: Eukaryota; Metazoa; Chordata; Mammalia; Primates; Hominidae.
GGCGCAUGCCUGUAAUCCCAGCUACUCAGGAGGCUGAGGCAGGAGAAGCGCUUGAACCCGGGAGGCGAAGGUUGCGGUGAGCCAAGAUGGUGCCAUUGCACUCCAGCCUGGGCAACAAGAGUGAACUCUGUCUCAAAAAAAAAAAAAAAAAAGAAGAGUUCACUUUUCUGGGAUGGAAUCUUUCCAGGCAUGUUAUUUUUUGUCUUUUUUAUAAUAGCCAUUCUAACCAGGGUAGGAUGAUAUCUCACUGUGGUUUUUAUUUGCAUUUCUCCGAUGAUUAGGGAUUAGAAUAUUUUUUCAUAUUCCUGUUGGCCAUUUGUAUGUCUUCUUUUUUUGUUUGUUUAAGAUGGAGUCUCACUCUGUCACCCAGGCUGGAGUGCAAUGGUGUGAUCUCGGCACACUGCAACCUCCACCUCCCAGGUUCAAGCGAGUCUCCUGCCUUGACCCCCUGGGUAGCUAGGACUACAGGCAUGCACCACCAUGCCCAGCUAAUUUUUUAAUAUAUAUUUUUAGUAGAGACAGGGUUUCACCAUGUUGGCCAGGCUGGUCUCGAACUCCUGACCUCAGGUGAUCCGCCUGCCUCGGCCUCCCAAAGUGCUGGGAUUACAGGCAUGAACCACCAUGCCCGACCAUUAUGUUUUAUUUUUAGAAAUAUCUAUUCAUGUCCUUUGCCUGCUUUUUAAUGUGGUUGUUCUUUUGCUGUUGAGUUGUUUGCAUUCCUUGUAUAUUCUGGAUAUUAGUCCUUGGUCAGAUGAAUAAUUUGCAAGUAUUGUCUCCCAUUCAACAUACUGUCUGUUCAUUCCAUUGGCUGUUUCCUUUUCUGCGAAGAAGCUUUUGGUUUAAUGUAGUCCCAUCUGUCUAUUUUUGUUUUUGUUGCCUGUUCUUUUGAAGUCUUAACCAUAAAAUCUUUGCCUAGACCAAUGUCUUGGAUAAUUUUUCCUAUGUUUCAUUUUAGUAGUUUUAUACUUUCAGGUCUCACGCUUAAGUUUCUAUUCCAUUUUGAGUCGGUUUUUGUAUAUGGUGAGAGAUGGGGGUCUAAUUUCAUUCUUCUGCAUAUGGAUACCCAGUUUUCUCAGCACCAUCUAUUGAAGAGGAUGUCUUUUUCCCAAUGUAAGUUCUUGGCACCUUCGUUGAAAAUCAGUUGGCUGUAAAUAUGUGGGUUUAUUUCUGGGUUCUCUGUUCUGUUCCCCUGGUCUAUGUGUCUGUUUUUAUAGCAACACCAUGCUGUUGUGGUUAUUAUAGCUUUAUAAUACAUUCUGAAGUCAAGUAGUGUGGUGCCUCCAGCUUUGUUCUUUUUGCCCAGGAUUGCUCUGGUUAUUCAAGCUUUUUUGGUUCCAUACGAAUUUUAGGAUUGCUUUUCCUAAAUUGUCAUUGGUUUCUUGCUAGGGAUUGCAUUCAAUCCAUAGGUUGCUCUGGGUAGUAAUGUUAUCUUAACAAUAUUCUUCCAAUCCAUGAGUACAAGAUGCCUUUCCAUUCGUUUGCAUCUUCAGCUUCUUUCAUCAGUGUUUUGUAGUUUUUCUUGUCAAAGUCUUUCAUUUCCUUAGUUAAAUUUAUUCCUAAGUUUCUUCUUCUUUUUCUUUUUUUUUUUUUUGUAGCUAUUGUAAAUGGGAUUGCUUUCUUGAUUUCUUUUUCAGCCAGUUCAUUAUUGGUGUAUAGGUUUGCUACUGAUUUUUGUAUGUUGAUUUUGUAUCCUGCCACAAUUGGUUUAUCAGACCUAAAAGUUUUCUGAUGAAGUUUUUCUAAGUAUAAGAUCAUGCAAUCUGCAAAUAAGGACUAUUUGACUUCCUGUUUUCCAAUUUGGAUACCUUUUGUUUCAUUAUCUUGUCUGAUUGUUCUGGCUAGGGCUUCUGGUACUAUGUUUAAUAGGAGUGGUAGAGGUAGACUUCCUUGUCUUAUUCUAGUUCUUUGAGAAAAGGUUUUCAGCUUUUCCCCAUUCAGUAUAACGUUCGUUGUGAGUUUGUCAUAGAUGGCCUUUAUUGUGUUGAGAUAUGUUCCUUCUAUGCCUAGAGACUUGAAAGUUUUUCGGUUUUGGGUUUUUUUUUGUUUUGUUUUGUUUUUUGAGACAGUCUUGCUCCAUCACCCAGGCUGGAGUGCAGUGGCACGAUCUUGGCUCACUGCAAGCUCCGCCUCCCGGGUUCAUGCCAUUCUCCUGCCUCAGCCUCCUGAGUAGCUGGGACUACAGGUGCCCGCCAGCACGCCCAGCUAAUUUUUUUGUAUUUUUAGCCAGGAUGGUCUCGACCUCCUGACCUCGUGAUCCGCCCACCUCGGCCUCCCAAAGUGCUGGGAUUACAGGCAUGAGUCGCCACGCCCAGGCUGUUUGUUUGUUUUUUGAGACAGAGUCUCACUCUGUUACUCAGGCUGGAGAGCAGUGGCACAAUCUCGGCUUACUGCAACCUCCGCCUCCUGGGUUCAAGUGAUUCCCCUGCCUCAGCUUCCUAAGUAGCUGGGAUUACUGGCGCCCACCACUAUGCCCGGCUAAGUUUUGUAUUUUUAGUAGAGACAGGGUUUCGCUAUGUUAACCAGGCUGGUGUUGAACUCCUGACUUUAGAUGAUCCACCCGCCUCGGCCUCCCAAAGUGCUGGGAUUACAGGCAUGAGCCACCAUGCCCAGACCUCACUGAAAUUCUUUAAUAGCAAUAUUUUGAAUCCUUUUUCUGGCUGUAGGGACUAGCCCCACAGGGUCAGUGGGUUUUUCUCCCCGUGUGCGGAGACAAGAGAUUGUAGAAAUAAAGACACAAGACAAAGAUUAAAAAAAAGACAGCUGGGCCCGGGGGACCACUACCACCAAGACGUGGAGACCCGUAGUGGCCCCGAAUGUCUGGCUGUGCUGUUAUUUAUUGGAUACAAAGCAAAAGGGGCAGGGUAAAGAGUGUGAGUCAUCUCCAGUGAUAGGUAAGGUCACAUGGGUCACGUGUCCACUGGACAGGGGGCCCUUCCCUGCCUGGCAGCCAAGGCAGAGAGAGAGAGGAGAAAGAGAGAGAGACAGCUUAUGCCAUUAUUUCUGCAUAUCAGACUUUUAGUACUUUCACUAAUUUUGCUAUUGCUAUCUAGAAGGCAGAGCCAGGUGUACAGGAUGGAACAUGAAGGUGGACUAGGAGCUGAAGCACAGCAUCACAGGGAGAUGGUUAGGCCUCCGGAUAACUGCAGGCGAGCCUGACUGAUGUCAGGCCCUCCACAAGAGGUGGAGGAGUAGAGUCUUCUCUAAACUCCCCCGGGGAAAGAGAGACUCCCUUUCCUGGUCCGCUAAGUAGCGGGUGGUUUUCCUUGACACUGAGGCUACCACUAGACCACUGUCCGCUUAGCAACAGGCGUGUUCCCAGACGCUGGCGUUACCGCUAGACCAAGGAGGCCUCUAAUGGCCCUGUCCGGGCAUAACAGAAGGCUCGCACUCUUGUCUUCUGGUCACUUCACACUAUGUCCCCUCAGCUCCUAUCUCUGUAUGGCCUGGUUUUUCCUAGGUUAUGAUUGUAGAGCGAGGAUUAUUAUAAUAUUGGAAUAAGGAGUAAUUGCUACAAACUAAUGAUUAAUGAUAUUCAUAUGUAAUCAUGUCUGUGAUCUAGAUCUAGUAUAACUCUUGUUGUUUUAUAUAUUUUACUAUACUGGAACAGCUCGUGCCCUCGGUCUCUUGCCUCGGCACCUGGGUGGCUUGCCGCCCACACUGGCACUUUAUAAAUUUCUUUUCAUUGGAAUUUGUUGUGUGAGCAUUAUCACACUCCUUUGGAGGUUUCAUAUUUUCUUGCUUUUUCAAGUCUCUUAUGUCCCUACAUUGAUUUUUGCGCGUCUGGUGUAACAGUCACUUCUUCCCAUUUUUUGGAUUGGCUUUCAUAACGGAAGACUUUUUCAUGAAGACAUCGUAUCUGUGGUGUUCACUGGGUAAUGCUCUUCAGCUUUGAUUCUAGCGUGCAGUCAUGUAGUCUCUAUGAUUUUUUCAGCUACAAACAGCAUUAGUAGUGUCUGACUUCCUCAGUGGCUUAGGAUGUGGUUGUCACUGGAGGCUGUAUUGAGACUUUGCUGGGGAUGGGAUGCCAGGUGGGUCAAUCCUUGGCCUCCAGUGGUGACAGAGGCAGGCUGAGCAUACCUAUCCUUUGGCCUUUGGGGGUAUACACAAGUACUGGUGUUAACAGGUCCAGAUGGGCCAAUUCAUGAACCUCCACGUGGCUCACUUUGGUGCCAGCAGGGGCAGCAGUCAGCAAGGAUGAUGAGUGGGUCCUUGGGUCCCUGGGCUGCAUGCAUGGCAUGAUGGUGGCAGUGGCAAUGGUGGGACAAUCCUUAACUUCCCAGGCAGCAAACACUGGUGUUACCAGUGGCUGAGAUGGGCUAGGUGGGUGAUGCAUGUCAGUGUGUGCCAGUGGUGAUGGUGGCAGCAGGCUGGGUAGACCCAUCCUCAGACCCCCAGGAGGAGUAUAUAGAUACCAGUGGUGGCAGAUGGGCAGGGCAAUGCCAGGGCCCUAGGCAGCAUGCUUGGGCAUUGUGGGGAGCAGUGCCUGACUGGGUGGGCCCGUCCUCAGGCCCUGUGGUGGUGCACGUGGGUGCAGGUGGUGAACAGGCUGAGGCAAUCCCUUGGCUGCUAUGUGGCAUGCUUGGGUGUUAGUGGUAGUGGCAGUUGUCGGCAAGGAGAUCCUGUCCUCAGGGCAUGUACAAAUGUGCAUGGCACUGCUGCUGGUGCAGGGGCAGGACUGCUGUCAAUGGCAGCAGCCCCAGGCAUGCAGCUCUCAGGCUCUGGGAAAUACAUGCUUUGGCCCCUGGUGAGGUGUCGGUAGUGGCCGUGGCCGUGGUGGCAGUCCUUUGUUUAUUUUAGCCUAUAUUUUUUUUUUUUUUUUUUUGAGACAGAGUCUCACUCUGGCCCAGGCUGGAGUGCAGUGGUGCAAUCUCGGCCCACUGCAAGCUCCGCCUCCCAGGUUCACACCAUUCUCCUGCCUCCGCCUCUCGAGUAGCU